UGACUUUAGCGGUUUAAAAAUAGAC
RNAcentral lists this non-coding RNA (25 nucleotides) under Cricetulus griseus (Chinese hamster). Lineage: Eukaryota; Metazoa; Chordata; Mammalia; Rodentia; Cricetidae. The record is from RNAcentral.